AACGAACGCUGGCGGCAUGACCUAACACAUGCAAGUCGAACGAGACCUUCGGGUCUAGUGGCGCACGGGUGCGUAACGCGUGGGAAUCUGCCCUUGGGUUCGGAAUAACAGCGAGAAAUUGCUGCUAAUACCGGAUGAUGACGUAAGUCCAAAGAUUUAUCGCCAAGGAUGAGCCGCGUAGGAUUAGCUAGUUGGUGAGGUAAAGGCUCACCAAGGCGACGAUCCUUAGCUGGUCUGAGAGGAUGAUCAGCCACUCUGGGACUGAGACACGGCCCAGACUCCUACGGGAGGCAGCAGUGGGGAAUA
Molecule: ribosomal RNA, 306 nt
Filed under: uncultured bacterium
Lineage: Bacteria
Description: bacterial SSU rRNA
Rfam family: Bacterial small subunit ribosomal RNA
Source: RNAcentral